UACGUAGGUCGCAAGCGUUGUCCGGAUUUACUGGGCGUAAAGAGCGCGCAGGCGGCUGGUCAAGUCCGAUGUGAAAUCUCCCGGCUCAACUGGGAAACUGCAUCGGAAACUGAUCGGCUUGAAGAUGGGAGAGGGUAGUGGAAUUCCCGGUGUAGUGGUGAAAUGCGUAGAUAUCGGGAGGAACACCAGUGGCGAAGGCGACUAUCUGGCCCAUUCUUGACGCUGAGGCGCGAAAGCUAGGGGAGCGAACGGG
Molecule: ribosomal RNA, 253 nt
Filed under: uncultured bacterium
Lineage: Bacteria
Description: partial 16S ribosomal RNA
Rfam family: Bacterial small subunit ribosomal RNA
Source: RNAcentral